This 253-nucleotide ribosomal RNA is filed under the name uncultured bacterium. RNAcentral describes it as "partial 16S ribosomal RNA". It matches the Rfam family "Bacterial small subunit ribosomal RNA", at positions 524 to 776 of the family's 1533-position model. The record is from RNAcentral.
UACGUAGGUGGCAAGCGUUGUCCGGAAUCAUUGGGCGUAAAGCGCACGUAGGCGGUCCAGUAAGUCGGGUGUGAAAGCCCUCGGCUCAACCGAGGAAGUGCAUUCGAAACUACUGAACUUGAGUAUGGAAGAGGGUCGCGGAAUUCCCGGUGUAGAGGUGAAAUUCGUAGAUAUCGGGAGGAACACCAGUGGCGAAGGCGGCGACCUGGGCCAAUACUGACGCUGAGGUGCGAAAGCGUGGGGAGCAAACAGG